Long non-coding RNA from Sinocyclocheilus rhinocerous, 134 nucleotides. RefSeq lists it as uncharacterized. The transcript has 3 exons. The record is from RefSeq and is a predicted model, not a curated record. NCBI's taxonomy places the organism in Eukaryota, Metazoa, Chordata, Actinopteri, Cypriniformes, Cyprinidae.
UCAGGUCUUGCAGUAUCUACUAAUGAGCUAAUGAGUGGAAUCAGGUGUGUUAGAUGAGGGAGACAUACAAAAUGUGCAGUGCUGGGGGUCCUCCUGGACAGGUUUGAAAACUCCUGGGCUAGAAAAUUCUUCAG